RNAcentral lists this ribosomal RNA (399 nucleotides) under uncultured bacterium. RNAcentral's name for it is "bacterial SSU rRNA". It matches the Rfam family "Bacterial small subunit ribosomal RNA", at positions 359 to 759 of the family's 1533-position model. The record is from RNAcentral.
CAUCGGAUGGGCGAAGCCUGACCGCAAUGCCGCGUGCAGGAAGAAGGCCUUCGGGUUGUAAACUGCUUUUGUACGGAACGAAACGGCCUUUUCUAAUAAAGAGGGCUAAUGACGGUACCGUAAGAAUAAGCACCGGCUAACUACGUGCCAGCAGCCGCGGUAAUACGUAGGGUGCGAGCGUUAAUCGGAAUUACUGGGCGUAAAGCGUGCGCAGGCGGUUCUAUAAGACAGAUGUGAAAUCCCCGGGCUCAACCUGGGAAUGGCAUUUGUGACUGUAGAGCUAGAGUACGGUAGAGGGGGAUGGAAUUCCGCGUGUAGCAGUGAAAUGCGGGGAUAUGCGGAGGAACACCGAUGGCGAAGGCAAUCCCCUGGACCUGUACUGACGCUCAUGCACGAAAG